Molecule: ribosomal RNA, 649 nt
Filed under: uncultured marine bacterium
Lineage: Bacteria
Description: bacterial SSU rRNA
Rfam family: Bacterial small subunit ribosomal RNA
Source: RNAcentral
CCGCACUUCGGUGCGGCAGAAAGUGGCGCACGGGUGAGUAACACGUGGGAACCUACCCUUUGGUUCGGAAUAACCGCGGGAAACUGCGGCUAAUACCGGAUAAGCCCCUCGGGGGAAAGAUUUAUCGCCAAUGGAUGGGCCCGCGCCGGAUUAGCUAGUUGGUAGGGUAACGGCCUACCAAGGCUUCGAUCCGUAGCUGGUCUGAGAGGACGGUCAGCCACACUGGGACUGAGACACGGCCCAGACUCCUACGGGAGGCAGCAGUGGGGAAUAUUGGACAAUGGGCGCAAGCCUGAUCCAGCCAUGCCGCGUGAGUGAAGAAGGCCCUAGGGUUGUAAAGCUCUUUCAUCGGGGAAGAUAAUGACGGUACCCGAAAAAGAAGCCCCGGCUAACUCCGUGCCAGCAGCCGCGGUAAUACGGAGGGGGCUAGCGUUGUUCGGAAUUACUGGGCGUAAAGAGCGCGUAGGCGGUUUACCAAAUUGGGGGUGAAAUCCCGGGGCUUAACUCCGGAACUGCCCUCAAAACUGGUAGGCUAGAGUGUGGGAGAGGAGAGUGGAAUUCCCAGUGUAGAGGUGAAAUUCGUAGAUAUUGGGAAGAACACCAGUGGCGAAGGCGGCUCUCUGGACCACAACUGACGCUGAGGCGCGAA